UGCAUUAUAAAAAAUAAAUUUAUUUUUAUUUUUAUUUAUUUAUUCACUAGUGCUAGAGUAGGGAAUAAAAAAAUAUUGAUCUAAUUUUUUUCAGCUACGAAUUUUUACCAACACCAGAGUUGAAAUUAUUCGAGCUCGAAUAUUCACUUCCGCCAGAGUCAGGAAUAUUAUAAACAAAUCAUCAUAGCAUAAACGAAUAAAUAUUUAGUAAUUAAAGACAAAACCAACAAUGCAGUUUGCCUUAGACAGAACGUUUAAGGGGUGAUAAUAUCUUUCCUUUUACGUAACCAAUCUCGAACCAUAUAAUCUUUGUUGACCAGUUAGGGUUUCUAGUGACCAUA
This 341-nucleotide long non-coding RNA is filed under the name Populus tremula. RNAcentral describes it as "long non-coding RNA (PTRE_LNC002986)". The record is from RNAcentral. Lineage: Eukaryota; Viridiplantae; Streptophyta; Magnoliopsida; Malpighiales; Salicaceae.